CUAUCUGGCACCCCGUCCGCUGGAUCUUCACACAGGGAAAAAACGAGCGCGCCUCAUCAACUGGCGUAACCCAGACAGCGACACAUUGUCUCUCUAUCGGUGAGUUGGCAUCGGACCAGCAGCUUAUUUUCUCCUCUAAACGACACUUCAGUUCCUGGGCCAGGGAGGUGAGACAACCUGGAGGAGAACCACACACAGUCGCUGCGGUACUGUUUUUACGGCUACUUUGCGGCCUUAACAGCCUCCAUUACGGUCAUCGCCCGGGGGUACUCAGUAACCUCCGGGUUUGGGAGGCCGCAGAGGUGCACAAGCCUGGCGAUGAGGGGUUUGUGAUCUCUGGAACACAAGACAAUUGUAAUUUGGGGCCGCCCAAAUCUUCUUGGAGACUGACAAGUUUCACAGGCUGGAGAGGUGGCUGCAGCUGUGGGCGGCCAGCAAGCCACCGAACCAGCUGUUUUUUUUCAUGGUUGGGAAGGGCCCAUGCUAAAACUUCUUGCACCACCUGCAGGUAGCGUGGGCGGAGAUGGGCCUUAAAGGGUCCCCCAAUUUCACCGACCUGAGGACCACUGUGUCUGCUCAUGCCAAGAACAACCUGCCUGCCGAGCAGCGGAAGAUGGUGGCCACCUUGUGUGCCACAACACAGCCACAGCUGACUGCUUCUAAGCCCUCAGCCUGAACGUGGGCCAGUCAAAGAGGAUGAGGGAGCAUUUCCACCAGGCCGUCACCCCCACCGUGCCAUCACCAGAGUCACCAGAAGCCUCCUCCUCCACCACCAGGAAGAGGUCCUGCAAGUCUGAGUCCUCCUCCAGUUCCGAGGACGAAACCUCUGUCCCCUACCUGGAGUCAGGGACCUCAGGACUGGAAGAGCAGAGGGAGUUUAUGGCGAGGCUGCAAAAUACACCAGAGAAGGCCCUCAGGACAAGCCAGUAUGGCAGGCUGAUGGUGGCGCAGACUGCGCUCGAGGCUCAACUCCACCUGUCUAAAAAGAUUUCGGAGAGGGCGAGAAGGGCAGUGUAUCGGGUGCAGCCCAGAAGCCUUAGACACACAGACUCUCUCUCUCACACACACACACACACACACACAUACACACACGUAAAUAGUUGUUUAUUGUGUUUUAUAGAUUGGUUCAGAUUCAUUUUGUAUUGUAACAUGUUCGUUUUUAGUACUUUAAGAUUCCUUUUUUUAUUAGAUGUUCUAUUUAGUAGAUGUUAAGAUUAAUUUACUUUUAGUGUGUUUUCAAAUGUUGUUCAAUAUUGGUAUGUGUUUAAUACAAGUUCCUUUUUACUUAAAAUGUCACAACUAUAAUACUGAGCACGCUUAGCCUAAACAUGAAGCUAGGAACACCAAAUUGGUCAGGUAUUCUCAACACAGGCCCACAUUUGAGUUUGAAAAGGUUCAAGGCAAUUUGUAGCUUGAAACAAGCUCCAAAGUUACAGAGUUAAAAAGACAGAAACAGCCAGAGAAAUUGAGACAGAAACCAGCCAGGAUCAGUCUAACUGUUAAAUGUAUGAGGAGCACAUAUGCAAAUAAAAAGCAUUACAAAAUUCAGUCCAAGCUGCCUAAACACUUCAUUUUCAAGCUAACUUUUACCAUACACCUGUCUGAUUUUCCUUACUGCAGUAACCGAGGCAAUUGAGGUAUUUAGGGAACAUUUGUAAAUUGUAGCCACAGAACUUGUGGUUACAUUCUAAACUGUUUGGGUCUGCGAAUGCACAUCAGUCAGCCGCCACGCCCUGAUAGCUGCUGGUUCACUGUGUUUAUAUAGACCAGUGUUUGGGAGCAAGAAACUGCAUGUAACAAGUUACAUGUAAUUACAUUACAAAAUAAAUGUUUAGGUGCUAGAGUCACUGAGGAAAAAUGUAAUUAAUUUAGAGUUACUUAUCAAAUAUUGAUGAUUACAAUGGGGUUACAUCUGAAAAUAUUAUUUUCGAUUAAAAAGCUUAUAUGUA
Sander lucioperca (pikeperch) is the source of this 1949-nucleotide long non-coding RNA. RefSeq lists it as uncharacterized. Lineage: Eukaryota; Metazoa; Chordata; Actinopteri; Perciformes; Percidae. The transcript is spliced from 5 exons. The record is from RefSeq and is a predicted model, not a curated record.